Molecule: transfer RNA, 68 nt
Filed under: Amalda northlandica (Northland olive shell)
Lineage: Eukaryota; Metazoa; Mollusca; Gastropoda; Neogastropoda; Olividae
Description: tRNA-Thr
Source: RNAcentral
AGCAAUAAGAAAUUUAAUCCAUUCAUCUUUGGCUUACAAGACCAAUGCUCUUUUUAAGCUAUUAUUGC